This 6775-nucleotide long non-coding RNA is filed under the name Triticum aestivum (bread wheat). RNAcentral describes it as "long non-coding RNA (TAES_LNC020426)". The record is from RNAcentral. Lineage: Eukaryota; Viridiplantae; Streptophyta; Magnoliopsida; Poales; Poaceae.
CGGUCGUUCAUCGAAGGACGGCGGCGACGGCGAUCCGACCAUGGAAAGGUCCCCUCCCCAAGGUAUGUCUACCAAAUCUCACACUUUUCGAUUUGAUCCGCCCGGAGGCUUGGACUACGGUAGUGAGGAAGAAGAAAGGCCGCCGGGGAGUGGCCGGACCGGCGCCGGCGGCAACCACGGCGACUGCGCCGGUGAUCACGGCGAUCGGGAUCGGGGCCGCUCGCUCCUGUCGUUUGAACGAGCUUCUGGGCCGGGUUGGGCUGGAGUUGAGCGAGAAUGAGAUGGGCCUGACUAGGACUGGGUAUGAGGCCCAGGUCCUUAGCUAGGUGACCGACCGGCCCGUCGAGGAGGCUAGCGACGUGCAUGCGAUCGAGUCGAAGAGUUCGACUAGUCUUGCAGUCCCUCGUCUGCUUCGUUCGUCCAGGACGGCUAGGGUUUGCAAGGUUGCUGUGCCUGGCUUCCCUCGGAUUGGAAUUGGGAGGGCUGCGCGUGUUCCACCGGUUGCGGCCAUGGCAGGUCGGGGCGCUGGUCCUCCACCUAAACCGCCUCUGCCCAAGCCAGCGCCACCCAAGCCGGUGCCGCCCUUGACCGGCGGGCCGUCGCGGCAUGCUCCGCUCCCCACAAGGUGGCACCGCCGCCGCAGAACAAGGCGGGGAGUCAGGCACCCACCCGCCAGUGUCUAACGAAGGUAUGCCUCCUGCGGCCAGGGCCGCGCCGCCGAUGCCGCGGGGAGGCGCCUCGUCGGGCCAGCAGCGGCAAUGCGCCUACCGUGGCAGGGAGGCUUUGUAUGGAGGUCGGGAUCCCCCCUGUGGUCAAUGGGGCGAUGAUGGGUAUGACGCGUAUGGCGAAGGACAACAUCGUGGUUCGUCCUCGACAGGUGGCAGACGUGGUUUUGCCUGGCAGAGCGAUGGGUCGACGGAACGACCGUUUUACGGAUCGCCGGGAGGAUUCGUCGAGGGAGCUUCCGGUCCGGAUUACAGGCAGAGAGGUGGUUUCCGUGCUCAUCGUGGUGGCCGGGGAGGCCGAUACCGUAAUCGUCAGCCUCCACCGCCUACUGCUACAGUGACCGAUGUUGCAGAGCCGGCAAGCUCCGCGGAUGGGGCAGCAGCUGUGCAGACGCCACCUUUGUCUGGCCAGGCCAUGGCCGCGGUGACGGCGCUGGCAACAAGGACGGUACCUGAGGUGGUGCCCUCUGCAGCGGGGACGGUCAGCGGGUCUGAGAAAUCUGACGGUGAGCGAGUUUCCAAGUGGGCUCGGAAGAAGGAGAAGAUGUUGUGCUAUCGCCGUGGUGAACAGGGGCACUUCAUAGCUGAGUGCGUGUCUGAGCUCUGUGACACGUGCCUCAAGCCGGGGCAUGAAACCGGGGACUGCCCGGUACUUCAUGAACCCAUGCCCAGUGUUACUAUUUAUGGAGUGUGUUGUGCCGAGUUAAUGUUCUUUGGGUCCCCUAAUGCACGGGAGAUCCCUGAGGCGCCACAGAGAGCGACCACGGGGGUGCUCAAAGUGACUAAGGGUAUCCUUUCUGACGCACAAAUCAUACAAAGGCUGCAUGAGUUGGCACCUGGGAAUUUUCAGUGGGAGUUGCUCGAGGCAAACACGUUCAAGGUUGAGUUUCCAACCACUGAUCAUCUGCAGAGACUUUUGAGCUUUGGGUUGUGCAGAGUCUCGGGCACCGAGUGUAUUCUUGAGUUCCACGAGUGGAAGAGGGUUGAGCCGAAGGGCAAGCCUCUUACUCAGGUUUGGUUACGGUUUUCGAGGGCACCAUCCAAGCCUCUGAAUGAUGUUCGGGUCGCAGCUAGCUUGGGGAAUCUUGUUGGGAAGACCGAGCAGGUGGACAUGGCCUUUACCCGAGCUCAUGGGGUGGCGAGGCUGCUAGUGAGUGUUCUGGACAUUGAGUAUGUUCCGGAUGUGGUUAAGUGGACGUAUGCCGGCAUGAUCUUCAACCUAGAGAUUGAGUUUGAGGACACUGACUUAUUCGCUGAGGCGCUGAAUGGUAAUGAUGUGGAUAUGCUCGAUAAGGAUGACGGGUCUAGCAACAAGGAGUUGAGCGAGGUGGAUCGUGGACGAGAUAUGUCCACUAACCCAGGCUCUAACGUAGCUCCAGCGGCGCCUAGGAUGGGGACUCCCAUGCAGACUUCGGCGCCUACGAAUGCACCACGAUUUGGAUCGUUUGAACCUACUUCGGCACCUCCUAGGCUGUGGAGCGAGAGGGUGGAGUGUGAGGAUGAGCAGUCGCUCCCCCCCUUGAUUUUGAGGUUCUUGAUUCGACUGCUGGUGGAUGUCCUGAUGGCUCUGAUGCUGUGGUGCCCUAUGCGACGGAGGCCCCCACUUCUGUGGCCACCGAGACGGGGCUCAGACUUGGUGCGGGAGGGGAGGCGGCUGGGUGGAUGGCUCCUGGUUCUCCCGCUACUCGCCCUCGGUGUGAGGCAUCACCGGAGCCGCAGGGAUCGACGCUGACUCCUGCGGCGGAGGUCGUGCGGGCUAGAGCGGCCGUGGUCGGGGUCUGCGUUGAGGCCAGCACCGGAUCAGGAGGAGGGCGCGGGCAGGUGGCCUUCGCCUCACCUCCUCCUGUGCUGCCCCUGGAGGGGGUGGCCCCUAUGACGUCAACGGGACCUGGGUCGGCUGGCCUGGGUAUGCUUUGUCACGGCCAGGUGGCGACUGAGCGAGUUCCACUGACGGCUUGGGGUAGCUCCCCCGUUGUCUCUGCUCCGUCUAGCCCUGUUGGAGGUACGACAGGUGGUCGUACCCCGAAUGGGGUCUCGCGGGACGAGAUCAUCACUUUUGGAGGGAUUCAGGAUCCUGUGUUCGCAGGUAGACGGAUGAGCGGUCGUCUCCAGGGUUAGCCGGGAGUUGAUGACAUGCAGCUGUGGUGCGCCAUGCGGGCGGCCAAGCUCCAUGAUAUUGAGGUCACUACGGGUAUGUCAGUCAAUACUUUCAAUUCUAUUCUGCAUUUUUCUAGUGAUGAGAUUAUUCAUAAUGCAACUCAGUUGAGUGUGUCACUAGGUAAAAAUGAUAUAGAAACUUCUAAAUCUGUUAAUGAUAUCCUGGAUCUUGAAGUGAAGCGUGCUUUAGAAAUGAUCCGUAACAUAGCGGCUGUUAAUGACGCGGAGAUAGAUGAGUUGGGACGGGUCCUUAAUAGCUUUUGUGCUGAUCUUGCACCCUCUCUUGCUGAUACCGAGGAAGAGGAUUGCCCUGUCUCACCGAGGGAUUCCACUAUUGCUGACUCUCUGGUAGUUAGCUCCUCUGAGCCUGGUCAUGACUCAUGAGGACCACGUUGAGGAUCAAAACAAACCUAAGCGCAAAUGGAAGCACAAGAUAUAUCCCGCUUCGGCUGUGCGUAGAAGUGCUAGGAUCCGGACCACUAAAAAAUUUCAUGAUGAAUUAUGAAAGGAUUUUUUUUGGAAUAGCAGAGGUCUUAAGGACUUGGCUAAGAGAAGGUUUCUAGCUGAUGCUUCGAUAGAACACAAGCUGGAUUUUAUCGCCCUUUCUGAGACUAGGAGAGGAAACUUUACCCCCCAGUUUCUUAGUACCCUAUCGGGAGGUGUGGACUUUGAUUGGCAUUGUUUGCCUCCAAGGGGAAGAUCCGGUGGGAUUUUACUUGGGGUUAAGUGCGAUUCUUUAGAAGUCCGGAAUGUGGUUAUGGGCGAUUUUGCAGUGAAGUUUAGGGUCAAAUCAAAGACUGAUGGGUUUCAGUGGGCUUUGGUGGCGGUUUGAAAGAGAUGGGUUCAUGGAUCUGAUAGCCAGGGAAUGGGCUAAGGAUUCGGGUGGGAGGUCGAAUGUUGAGAGAUGACAAAACAAAAUAAGACACCUAAGGCAAUUCUUACGUGGAUGGGCCAAGCAUUUAAGUGGGAUUUAUAAGAUUGAAAAUGAUCGUCUUCUUGAUCUUAUUCAAUCCCUAGACUUGAAGGCCGAGUCCUCUAUUUUAGACACCAGAGAGCGGGAAACUAAAAUGGAGGCGAAAGUUCGACUGAAAGAGCUUCUUCGAGAGGAGGAAUUGAAAUGGGCAUUACGUGCGAAAGUCCACAAAAUCCUACAAGGGGAUGAUAAUACCCAAUUUUUCACAUGAUUGCGAAUGUCAAACAUCAAAACAAGAGAAUCUUUCAGUUAGAGCAGGACGAGGGGACGAUUUUAGGGCAGAAAAAUUUAGAACUACAUAUCACAAACUAUUAUAAGCGGCUGUUUGGGCCGCCAGAGGAUAAUUUCGUGUCCUUGGAUGAGUCCAGGCUAGAGGAUGUGCCUCAGCUUGCUGCAGAGGAAAAUGAAAUUUUGACUGCCCCGUUUUCGGAGAAAGAGGUGUUUGAGGCUAUAUCACAAAUGAAGAAUAAUAAAGCUCCAGGCCCGGAUGGUUUUCCGGCGGAGUUUUAUAAGAAAUGCUGGCACAUUAUUAAAGGGGACUUGAUCCCGUUGUUCCAUGAUUUAUUCUGUGGGCAGUUACAGUUGUCUCACUUAAAUUACGGAACAAUAACUUUGUUACCUAAGAAAACAGACGCUGUGCGGAUCGAGCAAUUCCGGCCCGUAUGUCUUCUUAAUGUCAGCUUCAAAAUUUUCACGAAGGUGGGGACGAAUAGGCUUACGCAAAUUGCGCACACUGUGGUGCAACCUUCCCAAACUGCUUUUAUGCUAGAUAGAAACAUCCUAGAAGGGGUUGUAGUUCUGCAUGAAAUGCUCCAUGAGAUCCACACGAAAAAACUAGAUUUUUAAAGUGGAUUUUGAAAAAGCGUAAGAUAAAGUUAAAUGGCCAUUCCUUGCGUAUGAAGGGAUUUGAGCAGGCCUGGAGGAACCAGGUUGAUUCUUUCACGCAAAAAGGGAGUGUUGGAAUUAAAGUGACUGAUGACGUAGGUCACUACUUCCAGACGCACAGAGGUUUGACGCAAGGGGACCCGAUGUCACCGAUUCUUUUCAACAUUGUGGUUGACAUGUUGACAACCUUAAUAGGUAGGGCUAAUUAGACUGGCCAAGUAGGUGGCCUAGUUCCGCAUCUAGUGGAUGGCGGGGUGUCGAUCCUUCAGUAUGCUGAUGAUACUAUCAUUUGGAAAAAGCAAGAAACAUGAAGCUUGUGUUAUGUUUGUUCGAACAAUUAUCGGGGUCAAAGAUUAACUUCCACAAAAGUGAAUUGUUCUGUUUUGGAAGAGCCAAAGAUGAACAAGAUGCAUACAAACAAUUGUUCGGAUGCGAAUUGGGAUCUUUACCCUUCACAUAUUUGGGUAUACCAAUUCACCAUCGCAAGCUUUCUAACAAAGAGUGGAAGUGCAUCGAAGAUCGAUUUGAAAAGAAACUAAGUUGCUGGAAGGGCAAGCUUAUGUCAUACGGAGGCCGAUUAAUCCUCAUUAAUUCGGUUCUUACAAGUAUGCCGAUGUUUCUUUUGUCCUUUUUCGAGAUACCAGUGGGGGUCAGGAAAAGGCUAGACUUCUAUCGAUCUCGAUUCUUCUGGCAAAGUGAUGAAUUAAAACGAAAAUACAGACUCGUGAAAUGAGAUAUUAUUUGCAGAUCGAAAGACCAAGGGGGUCUCAGUAUUGAAAGCUUAGAGGUGAAGAACAAAUGUUUGCUCAGCAAAUGGUUAUUUAAGCUAUCUGUAGAGACGGAGGCCACGUGGGCGCAAAUAUUGCGCAAUAAGUACCUUAACUCCAAAACAUUGUCCCAGGUGACAGUGAGGCCGACUGAUUCACCUUUUUGGAAAGGACUGAUGAGAGUGAAAUCAGCCUUUUUCAACAGGACAAAAUUUUUAGUUGGAAACGGUACUACCACGAGGUUCUAGGAGGACACAUGGCUUGGGGAGACGCCCCUUGCACUCCAAUAUCCCUCUCUCUAUAAUAUUGUGCAGCGAAGAGAAGCUUAUGUUGCAACAAUAUUACAGUCUAAUCCUUUGAAUAUCCAAUUCAGAAGGAUGCUAGCGGGAAAUCGUUGGGAAGCUUGGCUACACUUAGUAUGACGACUAAUGGAAGUCGAGCUUUCCCAACAACCAGAACGGUUGAACUGGAAGCUCACAAAGAAUGGAGAGUUUUCGGUUAAAUCCAUGUAUUUGGAUGUUAUCAACUCUAGUGUUAUUCCUCGCUCGAAACAUGUGUGGAAAGUCAAAGUGCCUCUAAAAAUCAAAGUGUUUAUGUGGUUUCUACAUAAACAAAUUAUUCUAACCAAGGAUAAUCUGGUGAAACACAAUUGGACAGGAUCUACAAGAUGUAGUUUCUGUGAUAAGGAUGAGUCCAUCAAACACCUCUUUCUCGAAUGUCCCGUGGCAAAAAAUUUAUGGCGGACGGUGCACUUAGCUUUUAAUAUUACUCCUCCGAAUACCAUUAACACGUUAUUUGGGACGUGGUUUGAUGGGUUAGGCUCCAAAACUGCGAGACAUAUACGUGUUGGAGUAUGUGCUUUAUUAUGUGCUAUUUGGAACUGCAGAAAUGAUUUGGUUUUUAACAGAACAACAAAUAUUCAUUUCUUGCAGGUUAUCUUCCGGGCCACUACACUGAUCCAUAUGUGGUCGCUACUCACUCCGACGGAGGCCAGGGAGCGUUUGGUUACUAGAUCUGUCCGUUGGGAGAUGGUAGCUCGGGAUAUCUUCAACCGGUUUGGAUGGCGGUCAUGUAAUAGGAUAGGUUUUUAGGUUCCUAUCUUAUAUUUUUUGCCUGUCGGUUGUGGCUUUUCUUGGUAUGUUGAUUUUGCUCUUUGUGAGCUUUUCUGCUUUUCAGAGCGGAAGACCUUUGUGGAACCUUUUUGUUUAUUAUUAAUAAUAUGGCCGUAUGCAUCAUUCUGAUGCAGAGGCCGGGGCCGUGUCCCCUUU